Molecule: ribosomal RNA, 512 nt
Filed under: uncultured Glomus
Lineage: Eukaryota; Fungi; Glomeromycota; Glomeromycetes; Glomerales; Glomeraceae
Description: SSU rRNA
Rfam family: Eukaryotic small subunit ribosomal RNA
Source: RNAcentral
AGCAGCCGCGGUAAUUCCAGCUCCAAUAGCGUAUAUUAAAGUUGUUGCAGUUAAAAAGCUCGUAGUUGAAUUUCGGGACCAAUCUGCCGGUCGUGCCUCCGGUACGCACUGGUUUUAUUGGUUUCUCCCUUCUGACGAACCAUGACGUCAUUAAUUUGGUGUCAUGGGGAAUCAGGACUGUUACUUUGAAAAAAUUAGAGUGUUUAUAGCAGGCUCACGCUUGAAUACAUUAGCAUGGAAUAAUGAAAUAGGACGUUUGACCCUAUUUUGUUGGUUUCUAGGAUCGACGUAAUGAUUAAUAGGGAUAGUUGGGGGCAUUAGUAUUCAAUUGUCAGAGGUGAAAUUCUUGGAUUUAUUGAAGACUAACUACUGCGAAAGCAUUUGCCAAGGAUGUUUUCAUUAAUCAAGAACGAAAGUUAGGGGAUCGAAGACGAUCAGAUACCGUCGUAGUCUUAACCAUAAACUAUGCCGACUAGGGAUCGGAUGAUGUUAAUUUUUUAGUGACUCAUUUC